GAUCUUUGAUCAGAAAAUCUGUACACACCUAUAUGAAUAUGCGCUUAAAAUUUCACCAGAACGUUUUUGACAACCCUUAGUUUGUGACAUGAUCGAUAUAAGUGUAAAGUCAAAGCUUCUAUUGUAGUUUGCUCGGAUGUACUUGAAGAGAAGCAACAGCAAUGAAACUGUGCGUAGCAUAUAUGUUGAUGUUGGUAGGAGCGGCUCUAGCAGGACCUGCUCGUGAUAUAAGUAGACUCGAGAUCACUGACUGCAAUUGUAACAGAUGUCUCUUUACUCAGAUAGGUUAUGCAUUACAUGGACGUGUUCGUGUGGAGUUUAAUGGGCAAGAGAUACAAGACAACUGUUCCACGAGUUACAUAACAGAUUCUGCACGCGAAGUAAUUGGUUGGAACUGGUAUUGUCCAAUUCAAGGCUCAACAUAUGACAUGUUUGAAGUAUCAUACAAACACUUAUACGAUUGGGAGAUGAUAAAUGGCUGCUAAUGAACAUUUGGCGAAAUAAAAAAAUAUUUUACAAGUAAUACAAAAUAAAUGUAUCAAUUGGUUGCUAUGAAGUGGUUGAUACUUUAACACCAAUUUAAGAAAUAAAUUUAUAUUAUAAGAA
Molecule: long non-coding RNA, 606 nt
Organism: Ruditapes philippinarum (Manila clam)
Lineage: Eukaryota; Metazoa; Mollusca; Bivalvia; Venerida; Veneridae
Exons: 3
Source: RefSeq, a predicted model, not a curated record